AUCGCUCCCUCGAUAGUUAGCGGCGGACGGGUGAGUAACACGUGGGUAACCUGCCUGUAAGACUGGGAUAACUCCGGGAAACCGGGGCUAAUACCGGAUGGUUGUUUGAACCGCAUGGUUCAAACAUAAAAGGUGGCUUCGGCUACCACUUACAGAUGGACCCGCGGCGCAUUAGCUAGUUGGUGAGGUAACGGCUCACCAAGGCAACGAUGCGUAGCCGACCUGAGAGGGUGAUCGGCCACACUGGGACUGAGACACGGCCCAGACUCCUACGGGAGGCAGCAGUAGGGAAUCUUCCGCAAUGGACGAAAGUCUGACGGAGCAACGCCGCGUGAGUGAUGAAGGUUUUCGGAUCGUAAAGCUCUGUUGUUAGGGAAGAACAAGUACCGUUCGAAUAGGGCGGUACCUUGACGGUACCUAACCAGAAAGCCACGGCUAACUACGUGCCAGCAGCCGCGGUAAUACGUAGGUGGCAAGCGUUGUCCGGAAUUAUUGGGCGUAAAGGGCUCGCAGGCGGUUUCUUAAGUCUGAUGUGAAAGCCCCCGGCUCAACCGGGGAGGGUCAUUGGAAACUGGGGAACUUGAGUGCAGAAGAGGAGAGUGGAAUUCCACGUGUAGCGGUGAAAUGCGUAGAGAUGUGGAGGAACACCAGUGGCGAAAGCGACUCUCUGGUCUGUAACUGACGCUGAGGAGCGAAAGCGUGGGGAGCGAACAGGAUUAGAUACCCUGGUAGUCCACGCCGUAAACGAUGAGUGCUAAGUGUUAGGGGUUUCCGCCCCUUAGUGCUGCAGCUAACGCAUUAAGCACUCCGCCUGGGGAGUACGGU
RNAcentral lists this ribosomal RNA (825 nucleotides) under Bacillus subtilis. RNAcentral describes it as "bacterial SSU rRNA". It matches the Rfam family "Bacterial small subunit ribosomal RNA", at positions 74 to 886 of the family's 1533-position model. Lineage: Bacteria; Bacillati; Bacillota; Bacilli; Caryophanales; Bacillaceae. The record is from RNAcentral.